GAAAUGCGAUAAGUAAUGUGAAUUGCAGAAUUCAGUGAAUCAUCGAAUCUUUGAACGCACCUUGCGCCUUUUGGUAUUCCGAAAGGCAUGCCUGUUUGAGUGUCAUGAAAUCUCAAUCCCGUCUGGUUUAUGACCUGGCGUGGACUUGGACAUGGGCGUCUGCCGGUUACACGGCUCGCCUCAAAUGACUUAGUGGGAUCGCUUGCAUCCGUGACAGACGUAAUAAGUUUCGUCUCGUCCCUUGCUAUGCGUCAAGCCUGCUCACAACCCUUCUCGCCCUCUGGGCAGAAACUUUUGACUCUGACCUCAAAUCAGGUAGGACUACCCGCUGAACUUAA
This 338-nucleotide unclassified non-coding RNA is filed under the name uncultured Tremellales. Its description in RNAcentral is "sequence contains ITS1". The stretch from base 1 to 105 matches the Rfam family "5.8S ribosomal RNA", at positions 50 to 154 of the family's 154-position model. Lineage: Eukaryota; Fungi; Basidiomycota; Tremellomycetes; Tremellales. The record is from RNAcentral.